GUUUGUGAGCUCAGUGGUAGAGCUCUUGCCUAGCAUGCACGAGGCCCUGAGUUCGAUCCCCAGCACUACA
RNAcentral lists this transfer RNA (70 nucleotides) under Marmota monax (woodchuck). RNAcentral describes it as "tRNA.Ala". It matches the Rfam family "tRNA". Rfam says of the family: Transfer RNA (tRNA) molecules are approximately 80 nucleotides in length. Their secondary structure includes four short double-helical elements and three loops (D, anti-codon, and T loops). Lineage: Eukaryota; Metazoa; Chordata; Mammalia; Rodentia; Sciuridae. The record is from RNAcentral.